Molecule: long non-coding RNA, 541 nt
Organism: Pollicipes pollicipes
Lineage: Eukaryota; Metazoa; Arthropoda; Thecostraca; Pollicipedomorpha; Pollicipedidae
Exons: 2
Source: RefSeq, a predicted model, not a curated record
UGGCCGCCUGCUGAGCUGGCUGGCUGAGCUGAGCCCGACCGCGUGCUGAGCUGCCGGCGGCGGGCUCAGCCAGCCUCCUCCCGCACGGUGGUUGACUGCGCGGCAUCUGAUGACGUCACCGCUCCUGUGACGUCCGUGGCCGAGAGCUCAGCGAGCUGGCAGCGGGCCGAUGUCCGGCGGAGACGUGACCGGACGCCGCUGGUGGUCCGCGCCUGCUCACACCUGGUCUGACCCAAGUCGGUUUUCGUUAGAAGAUGUGUGCUUCAUAUCGCUAUAAGCAAAGGUAAUAGGUAUAUAUAUAUAUAUAUAUAUAUAUAUAUAUAUAUAUAUACACGAAGCACAUUUCUUCACUUGAUACUAAGGGCAAAAUAAAUUUUGGUGCGAUGUGCAGUCGGCAACCUGCCGCGUUUGCAUGCAAUUUCCGUUAUAUCCACUCUAGCGGCAUCUUCCAGACGCUGUCAAUGGAUACAAAAGUAAUGUGUUACCAGUAUGUCGAGCUACCGCCUGUAACAUGUGUUUUAAUACACUGAGUCAGAACAUG